AUAAAGACUAUGAUCAGAAAUCUAGGUUAUCAACUUCUACAGAGAAUCAUCAAUUUGGUGGAAUGAUGAUGUUGGCGAUGCUUAGUUCACAUCUGGGAGUCAUUUUCCUGAAAGCUUUAGUAGGGAAAAACGGUGAGCACGUUAUUGCUGAAGUUUAGUUACUAAACUCUUGAGGUCUACGCUGUAGACGAACAUGAGGUGGCACCACGAUUUAACAAUCGUCCUCUUA
RNAcentral lists this non-coding RNA (229 nucleotides) under Lentilactobacillus curieae. RNAcentral's name for it is "Lactobacillus curieae T-box sequence". It matches the Rfam family "T-box leader". Rfam says of the family: Uncharged tRNA acts as the effector for transcription antitermination of genes in the T-box leader family. T-boxes are found upstream of many aminoacyl-tRNA synthetase genes and some amino acid biosynthetic genes usually in Gram-positive bacteria. The anticodon of a specific tRNA base pairs to a specifier sequence within the T-box motif, and the NCCA acceptor tail of the tRNA base pairs to a conserved bulge in the T-box antiterminator hairpin. The record is from RNAcentral. Lineage: Bacteria; Bacillati; Bacillota; Bacilli; Lactobacillales; Lactobacillaceae.